RNAcentral lists this ribozyme (116 nucleotides) under Aedes aegypti (yellow fever mosquito). RNAcentral describes it as "drz-agam-1 ribozyme". It matches the Rfam family "drz-agam-1 ribozyme". The record is from Rfam by way of RNAcentral. Lineage: Eukaryota; Metazoa; Arthropoda; Insecta; Diptera; Culicidae.
UGCCGAGCAACUCCUAUCCCUACCUCCUCGUAGUACUGGCCGGGGUACGAGUAACCUUAGGGAAGAUCGGGUAACCAACCACUGUGGGAACUUUGGUCGUAGGCUGACAGGGAAGG